Molecule: ribosomal RNA, 427 nt
Filed under: uncultured bacterium
Lineage: Bacteria
Description: bacterial SSU rRNA
Rfam family: Bacterial small subunit ribosomal RNA
Source: RNAcentral
GAUGAACGCUGCGGCGUGCUUAACACAUGCAAGUCGANCGAAAGGCCCUUCGGGGUACUCGAGCGGCGAACGGGUGAGUAACACGUGGGCAACCUGCCCUCAGCUCUGGGAUAACUCCGGGAAACCGGGGCUAAUACCGGAUACGACCUUCCCUCGCAUGGGGGUUGGUGGAAAGUUCUUCGGCUGAGGAUGGGCCCGCGGCCUAUCAGCUUGUUGGUGGGGUGAUGGCCUACCAAGGCGACGACGGGUAGCCGGCCUGAGAGAGCGCCGGCCACACUGGGACUGAGACACGGCCCAGACUCCUACGGGAGGCAGCAGUGGGGAAUAUUGCGCAAUGGGCGGAAGCCUGACGCAGCGACGCCGCGUGAGGGAUGAAGGCCUUCGGGUUGUAAACCUCUUUCAGCAGGGACGAAGCGAGAGUGACGGU